This 524-nucleotide ribosomal RNA is filed under the name uncultured bacterium. Its description in RNAcentral is "partial 16S ribosomal RNA". It matches the Rfam family "Bacterial small subunit ribosomal RNA", at positions 355 to 871 of the family's 1533-position model. The record is from RNAcentral.
UGGGGAAUUUUGGACAAUGGGCGAAAGCCUGAUCCAGCAAUGCCGCGUGUGUGAAGAAGGCCUUCGGGUUGUAAAGCACUUUUGUCCGGAAAGAAAUCCUUGGCUCUAAUACAGUCGGGGGAUGACGGUACCGGAAGAAUAAGCACCGGCUAACUACGUGCCAGCAGCCGCGGUAAUACGUAGGGUGCAAGCGUUAAUCGGAAUUACUGGGCGUAAAGCGUGCGCAGGCGGUUUGCUAAGACCGAUGUGAAAUCCCCGGGCUCAACCUGGGAACUGCAUUGGUGACUGGCAGGCUAGAGUAUGGCAGAGGGGGGUAGAAUUCCACGUGUAGCAGUGAAAUGCGUAGAGAUGUGGAGGAAUACCGAUGGCGAAGGCAGCCCCCUGGGCCAAUACUGACGCUCAUGCACGAAAGCGUGGGGAGCAAACAGGAUUAGAUACCCCUGGUAGUCCACGCCCUAAACGAUGUCAACUAGUUGUUGGGGAUUCAUUUCCUUAGUAACGUAGCUAACGCGUGAAGUUGACCG